AAAAAUGUAGCAUAAAUUAAUGCAUUUCGCUUACACUGAAAACAUACUUAGAUAUAAGUCAUUUUUA
This 67-nucleotide transfer RNA is filed under the name Melarhaphe neritoides. Its description in RNAcentral is "tRNA-Val". It matches the Rfam family "tRNA". Rfam says of the family: Transfer RNA (tRNA) molecules are approximately 80 nucleotides in length. Their secondary structure includes four short double-helical elements and three loops (D, anti-codon, and T loops). Further hydrogen bonds mediate the characteristic L-shaped molecular structure. tRNAs have two regions of fundamental functional importance: the anti-codon, which is responsible for specific mRNA codon recognition, and the 3' end, to which the tRNAs corresponding amino acid is attached (by aminoacyl-tRNA synthetases). tRNAs cope with the degeneracy of the genetic code in two manners: having more than one tRNA (with a specific anti-codon) for a particular amino acid; and 'wobble' base-pairing, i.e. permitting non-standard base-pairing at the 3rd anti-codon position. The record is from RNAcentral. Lineage: Eukaryota; Metazoa; Mollusca; Gastropoda; Littorinimorpha; Littorinidae.